UUCUCGAAUUUAAAAGAGUUAAUAAUUUUAUUAUAAAAAAUAUUUAAGAUAUGAAAUUAAAAGUUAAUAUAUCUAGUUUUUUAAGAAAAUUUAAUUUUAUUAAAUUUUUAGGGAUGAGCUUAAAAUAGGAUUAGAAAUUUUGUUAUAAUUAAUUUAUUAAAAUUAUAGUAUAAAUUUUUUAAAAGAAAAUGAUAAAAUUAGUAUAAAAUAAAUUUAAAGAAUUCGGCAAAAAUUUUUCACCUGUUUAUUAAAAACAUGUCUUUUCGUUAAUAAUUUAAAGUCUAACCUGCCCACUGAGGCCGCGGUAUUUUGACCGUGCAAAGGUAGCAUAAUCAUUAGUUUUUUAAUUGAAAGCUAGAAUGAAGGGUUGAAUGAAAAAAUAACUGUUUCAAAUUUAUAAAAUUUAAUUUUUAAGUUAAAAAGCUUAAAUAUAUUAAAAAGACGAGAAGACCCUAUAGAGUUUAAUUUUAAUUGGGGUGAUUGAAAAAUUUAAAUAACUUUUGAUUAUUAGAUAAAAUUACCUUAGGGAUAACAGCGUAAUUUUUUUAAAAGUUCUAAUUGAAAAAGAAGAUUGCGACCUCGAUGUUGGAUUAAAAUUAGUUUUGGUGUAGAAGCU
RNAcentral lists this ribosomal RNA (616 nucleotides) under Necydalis major. RNAcentral describes it as "partial large subunit ribosomal RNA". Lineage: Eukaryota; Metazoa; Arthropoda; Insecta; Coleoptera; Cerambycidae. The record is from RNAcentral.